RNAcentral lists this ribosomal RNA (271 nucleotides) under uncultured prokaryote. RNAcentral's name for it is "partial 16S ribosomal RNA". It matches the Rfam family "Archaeal small subunit ribosomal RNA", at positions 474 to 743 of the family's 1478-position model. The record is from RNAcentral.
UACCAGCAGUUCAAGUUGCAUCCCUUUUUAUUGGGUCUAAAACAUCCGUAGCUUGUUUAUUAAGUCUCUUGUGAAAUCCUAUGUCUCAAGCAUGGGGCUUGCAGGAGAUACUGAUGGACUAGAGAUCGGUAGACGUAAGGAGUACGUCGGGGGUAGCGGUUAAAUGUGUUAAUCCUCGGUGGACUAACGAUGAGCGAAGGCACCUUACGAGGACGAAUCUGACAGUGAGGGAUGAAGGCCAGGGGCGCAAAACGGAUUAGAUACCCGCGUA